This 271-nucleotide long non-coding RNA is filed under the name Malus domestica (apple). Its description in RNAcentral is "long non-coding RNA (MDOM_LNC007428)". The record is from RNAcentral. Lineage: Eukaryota; Viridiplantae; Streptophyta; Magnoliopsida; Rosales; Rosaceae.
UCGUACAGACCAUGAGAGGGUUCCGAUAUGCUAGUCGUACAUAUCACUAGAGGUGGUUCCGACUGGUAGGUGACCUUAGAUUAUGUGCACAGAUGAUUGAUGAGAGAAGCACUAGAGCGUAUUAUUACACCAUUCUUGUCGUACAGACUACUUCAGGUAGUUCCGACUUAUGUGCAGAGUAGUGCCGUACAGGUCACCGUGGUGACUCCGGUUGGUUUGGAUAUUGAGCUAUGGAAUUAACCGUACAUGACCAACUGCAGGGUCUCCGGUU